Molecule: ribosomal RNA, 482 nt
Filed under: uncultured bacterium
Lineage: Bacteria
Description: partial 16S ribosomal RNA
Rfam family: Bacterial small subunit ribosomal RNA
Source: RNAcentral
AUUGAACGCUGGCGGCAUGCUUUACACAUGCAAGUCGAACGGUAACAGGCCGCAAGGUGCUGACGAGUGGCGAACGGGUGAGUAAUGCAUCGGAACGUGCCCAGUCGUGGGGGAUAACUACUCGAAAGAGUAGCUAAUACCGCAUACGAUCUAUGGAUGAAAGCGGGGGACCGUAAGGCCUCGCGCGAUUGGAGCGGCCGAUGUCAGAUUAGGUAGUUGGUGGGGUAAAGGCUCACCAAGCCAAUGAUCUGUAGCUGGUCUGAGAGGACGACCAGCCACACUGGGACUGAGACACGGCCCAGACUCCUACGGGAGGCAGCAGUGGGGAAUUUUGGACAAUGGGCGCAAGCCUGAUCCAGCAAUGCCGCGUGCAGGAAGAAGGCCUUCGGGUUGUAAACUGCUUUUGUACGGAACGAAACGGCUCUGGUUAAUACCCGGGGCUAAUGACGGUACCGUAAGAAUAGGCACCGGCUAACUACGUG